Tripterygium wilfordii is the source of this 444-nucleotide long non-coding RNA. RefSeq lists it as uncharacterized. The transcript is spliced from 3 exons. The record is from RefSeq and is a predicted model, not a curated record. Lineage: Eukaryota; Viridiplantae; Streptophyta; Magnoliopsida; Celastrales; Celastraceae.
AACCUCACCACACCUGAGUUGAGUUUUUUAAUAAAGCAGAUCACAGCUAUGGCCAGCAAAAAAGUGGAAGUUAAACGCACGCGGGACGCUAAAUCUUCCGUCAGAUACGUUAAUGAAAUGUCAGAAAAGUCCUCCUAAUUUUUUUAUUAUUACAACUCUACCCUCAACCCUAUCAUCUUCUCUUUUACCAGUUACAACAAGUCCAGCCGCUCCUCCACUGUUCUCUCCCUGAAGCACGACAUCCUCCUGUCAAAUGGCAUGAUUGAGCGUUGAAACGUGACAUCGGAUCGGGUUCGUUUCAGCACAUAAAGUAGCUGGAUCUCUUUCAGAAUAGCAGUAGAGGAGUAGUUGGAUUAGGUAAAAAUGAGUCAACAAAGGAAUGAUGGAUGUGAUGAAGCCCCCCAAACAGAGAAGGCAAAUUGGGAGCAGGCUUUGACUGCUAUU